UUAAAUUGAAGAGUUUGAUCAUGGCUCAGAUUGAACGCUGGCGGCAGGCCUAACACAUGCAAGUCGAGCGGUAGCACAGAGAGCUUGCUCUCGGGUGAC
Molecule: ribosomal RNA, 99 nt
Filed under: Klebsiella pneumoniae
Lineage: Bacteria; Pseudomonadati; Pseudomonadota; Gammaproteobacteria; Enterobacterales; Enterobacteriaceae
Description: partial 16S ribosomal RNA
Rfam family: Bacterial small subunit ribosomal RNA
Source: RNAcentral